This 465-nucleotide ribosomal RNA is filed under the name bacterium AD2006. RNAcentral's name for it is "bacterial SSU rRNA". It matches the Rfam family "Bacterial small subunit ribosomal RNA", at positions 28 to 477 of the family's 1533-position model. The record is from RNAcentral.
GAUGAACGCUGGCGGCGUGCCUAACACAUGCAAGUCGAACGGAGAUUUAACGCUGAUGAAGCUUCGGCAGAUUCUUGUUAAAUCUUAGUGGCGGACGGGUGAGUAACGCGUGGGCAACCUGCCUCAUACUGGGGGAUAACAGCUGGAAACGACUGUUAAUACCGCAUAAGCGCACGGUAUCGCAUGAUACAGUGUGAAAAACUCCGGUGGUAUGAGAUGGGCCCGCGUCAGAUUAGCCAGUUGGCAGGGUAACGGCCUACCAAAGCGACGAUCUGUAGCCGGCCUGAGAGGGCGGACGGCCACAUUGGGACUGAGACACGGCCCAAACUCCUACGGGAGGCAGCAGUGGGGGAUAUUGCACAAUGGAGGAAACUCUGAUGCAGCGACGCCGCGUGAGUGAAGAAGUAUUUCGGUAUGUAAAGCUCUAUCAGCAGGGAAGAAAGACUCGUAAGAGAGAUGACGNAC